CCUACGGGAGGCAGCAGUGAGGAAUAUUGGUCAAUGGACGAGAGUCUGAACCAGCCAAGUAGCGUGAAGGAUGACUGCCCUAUGGGUUGUAAACUUCUUUUAUAUGGGAAUAAAAUGUUCCACGUGUGGGAUUUUGUAUGUACCAUAUGAAUAAGGAUCGGCUAACUCCGUGCCAGCAGCCGCGGUAAUACGGAGGAUCCGAGCGUUAUCCGGAUUUAUUGGGUUUAAAGGGUGCGUAGGUGGAUUGUUAAGUCAGUGGUGAAAGGUUGGGGCUCAACCGGAAAAUUGCAGUUGAAACUGGCAGUCUUGAGUAGAGUAGAGGUGGGCGGAAUUCGUGGUGUAGCGGUGAAAUGCUUAGAUAUCACGAAGAACUCCGAUUGCGAAGGCAGCUCACUGGACUGCAACUGACACUGAGGCUCGAAAGUGUGGGUAUCAAACAGGAUUAGAUACCCUAGUAGUC
Molecule: ribosomal RNA, 460 nt
Filed under: uncultured bacterium
Lineage: Bacteria
Description: partial 16S ribosomal RNA
Rfam family: Bacterial small subunit ribosomal RNA
Source: RNAcentral